GGGGAAUCUUGCGCAAUGGGCGAAAGCCUGACGCAGCGACGCCGCGUGGGUGAUGAAGGCCUUCGGGUUGUAAAGCUCUGUGGGGAGAGACGAAUAAGACGUGGCUAACAUCCACGGCGAUGACGGUAUCUCCUUAGCGAGCACCGGCUAACUCUGUGCCAGCAGCCGCGGUAAGACAGAGGGUGCAAACGUUGUUCGGAAUUACUGGGCGUAAAGCGUGUGUAGGCGGCCAUGUAAGUUGGAUGUGAAAGCCUGGGGCUCAACCCCGGAAGUGCAUUCAAAACUGCGUGGCUUGAGUAUCGGAGAGGUUGGUGGAAUUCUCGGUGUAGAGGUGAAAUUCGUAGAUAUCGAGAGGAACACCGGUGGCGAAGGCGGCCAACUGGACGAAUACUGACGCUGAGACACGAAAGCGUGGGGAGCAAAC
Molecule: ribosomal RNA, 424 nt
Filed under: uncultured bacterium
Lineage: Bacteria
Description: bacterial SSU rRNA
Rfam family: Bacterial small subunit ribosomal RNA
Source: RNAcentral